RNAcentral lists this ribosomal RNA (496 nucleotides) under uncultured bacterium. RNAcentral describes it as "partial 16S ribosomal RNA". It matches the Rfam family "Bacterial small subunit ribosomal RNA", at positions 29 to 507 of the family's 1533-position model. The record is from RNAcentral.
AACGAACGCUGGCGGCGCGUCUUAAGCAUGCAAGUCGAACGGCAAGAGAGGAGCUUUCUUCUCUCCUAGAGUGGCGGACUGGUGAGGAACACGUGGGUAAUCUACCCUUAAGAUGGGGAUAGCUGCUAGAAAUAGCAGGUAAUACCGAAUACACUCGGCAUAUCACAAGAGGUGUUGAGGAAAGGAAGCUACGGCUUCGCUUGAGGAUGAGCUUGCGUCCCAUUAGCUAGUUGGUGAGGUAAAGGCCCACCAAGGCGACGAUGGGUAUCCGGCCUGAGAGGGUGAACGGACACAUUGGGACUGAGAUACGGCCCAAACUCCUACGGGAGGCAGCAGCUAAGAAUAUUCCGCAAUGGACGGAAGUCUGACGGAGCGACGCCGCGUGGAUGAAGAAGGCUGAAAAGUUGUAAAAUCCUUUUGUUGAUGAGGAAUAAGGGUGAGAGGGAAUGCUCAUCUGAUGACGGUAAUCGACGAAUAAGCCCCGGCUAAUUACGUG